RNAcentral lists this transfer RNA (71 nucleotides) under Oligosoma grande. RNAcentral's name for it is "tRNA-Thr". It matches the Rfam family "tRNA". Rfam says of the family: Transfer RNA (tRNA) molecules are approximately 80 nucleotides in length. The record is from RNAcentral. Lineage: Eukaryota; Metazoa; Chordata; Lepidosauria; Squamata; Scincidae.
GCCUUAGUAGCUUAAUAUUAAAGCAUUGGUCUUGUAAGCCAAAGCAGGGAAGUAGCCCCUCCCCUAAGACA